RNAcentral lists this ribosomal RNA (497 nucleotides) under uncultured bacterium. RNAcentral's name for it is "partial 16S ribosomal RNA". It matches the Rfam family "Bacterial small subunit ribosomal RNA", at positions 28 to 507 of the family's 1533-position model. The record is from RNAcentral.
GAUGAACGCUGGCGGCGUGCCUAAUACAUGCAAGUCGAGCGAACAGACGAGGAGCUUGCUCCUCUGACGUUAGCGGCGGACGGGUGAGUAACACGUGGAUAACCUACCUAUAAGGCUGGGAUAACUUCGGGAAACCGGAGCUAAUACCGGAUAAUAUAUUGAACCGCAUGGUUCAAUAGUGAAAGACGGUUUUGCUGUCACUUAUAGAUGGAUCCGCGCCGCAUUAGCUAGUUGGUAAGGUAACGGCUUACCAAGGCAACGAUGCGUAGCCGACCUGAGAGGGUGAUCGGCCACACUGAAACUGAGACACGGUCCAGACUCCUACGGGAGGCAGCAGUAGGGAAUCUUCCGCAAUGGGCGAAAGCCUGACGGAGCAACGCCGCGUGAGUGAUGAAGGUCUUCGGAUCGUAAAACUCUGUUAUUAGGGAAGAACAAAUGUGUAAGUAACUAUGCACGUCUUGACGGUACCUAAUCAGAAAGCCACGGCUAACUACGUG